Photinus pyralis (common eastern firefly) is the source of this 2646-nucleotide long non-coding RNA. RefSeq lists it as uncharacterized. The transcript has 3 exons. Lineage: Eukaryota; Metazoa; Arthropoda; Insecta; Coleoptera; Lampyridae. The record is from RefSeq and is a predicted model, not a curated record.
AUCGUUUAAUAAGAUUCUCGUCGUAUAUUCUUUUACGCAACCAAUUUAAAUUCUGCAAAAGUUUCCUUUUUUGAUACAAAUCUAUAGAGAAAGGAAUUCUAUCACCUUUAUUAGAGUUGGAAAUAUUCCUUUUUCUUUUUGGACAUGCAAUAUCGAAGCACCAAAGCAACGUUCCUAGAAAUUUGUCAAAUAGGCGAUUGACGUUAGAAUUAUUGAAUUCCUUAAAUUGGAAUUCUGCGAAGCGUUCCUUGAAAUCUAGAAGAGACCGUUCCUUGAUUAUUCUAUACGUGUGAAGGUAAUAGUCGUUGGUGUGUUCUUUAAUAUCGCAAGAAGCAACGACUAAUUCAAGAGUUUGACAAUGAUGGUCAGAUAUUCCGGGAUCAAAAUUUUUUGUUUUUAAAAUAUGAGGUACGUUGCUGAUAACAUAAUCUAUUGAAGAACUGCUGGUGUAAUUAAUGUUGGUGAAAAUUCUAGUUGGCGUAGUUAUUAAUGAUACCAUUUUGAAUGAAUGAAUUAAGUCAAAGAGUUUCAUAGUAUUUAUGUCGUUACUAAAUUGGUUUAUGUUUAGAUCACCAGUAUGCCUAACUUUGUGUUUUCCCCUGCAAUAAUAAUUUGAAAAAUGCCAAUGUUCCAUUGCAUUUUCCCCUAGAAAAGAAGGAGCCGUGUCGAAAUAAAGUCUGGAAAAUUAGAAAAAACCGCUGAAUCAUAGUAGAUACAAGAAGGAAAGGACCCUGUACCUCAGCAUAAAGUUUAGAGAAGGCUAACAUACUGCAAUCCCUUCUUUACAUCUCACAGGAAACAAAGGCCCUAAUAAAGCUACAAAACGCCAGUCAACUUAUCUAAGAAAUGGAGAAACCAGUUCAACAUCAAACAUAUGCCACAAUCAAACAGAAGAACUGAAUCAAAUCGAACCAAACCGCUUACUGAAAGCAUAGGUAUCCAAUCUGAGCUGGGUACAGAAAUUUAUUACAAAUAUUCAAAUUUAUAUGAGGAUAUAUGUUCGGAUGAUACUUCAGUAAGGUUUUCUUGUUUUUUUCAAAGGAAAGCGAACUAGAAUAUGAAAGAACUGACGCGUUUGGACUGCUUGGAUCCGUGCCGCCGCACCCACGACGUCGGGAUGACGUCACAUGUUCUGUCUUUCAAACUUUCAUCGUUAAUAAUUUGAAAACUACUCAUCGUAGAAAACUCCGGUUUGAAAUUUUGUUCUUAGAUUUUCUUCUACAAUUUUUUUGAUUUUGGGUAUACUACCCCUUUAACAGUACCGCAUACGACCCGCGAAUCUAUUUUUCUAAAGCGUGCGAACUACACGACGUACAAACCGCGAAUCUCUCGAUGUACGUGCUAUCAGCUCCACGUACAAACCGCGAAUCCUCUUUUUUCAAAAUCUUCCACCUCUCUGGAUUCCUAAGAAGACACGCCCGCGAAUGGGAACGAUUAAAGAUGGCUCUGGACAUUAAUUGACUGAUUGGUAUAUUAAAACUGCACCGUCAUAAUGAAGCCAGAUGAUAGGGGUUCACAAAACGAUCUCACAGGGAAAUCAGAUUUGUAAGAUAAACCAGUCGUUAAAAUGAGUGUUAUCAGAGAUACCUUCCUGACAAUGGGGCGACUCUGCCCAUUAAAGAACAGAGAAAACACUAUUAAUGCACUGACGCACUGAAAACUUGAGGUCACGUUUCACAAAGGAAAACAGUUUUGUGGAAAAAAUACGCCGCCCUAAUUUAAAUGAGUUCAAAUCAUCCAAAUAGGACAACCACCUAAAUGUACAUACAUGCUACUUUACGCUGAUGACAAAAACACAAACUUCUCAAAACAAAAUUCUGCCCAAAAUAAAAUCACUCAUUACAACUUCUGCAUUACGAGAUUUGUGUUCGGAAUUGUGCCGUUUAUCACCCCUAUUCCCAAAGUGAUAAACCCUGUGGAAAUGAAUGCCCACAUUUUCAAAGGUACUGGAGAGGAUUAUGGAUGAGCAACUUCGUUCGCAUUUAAACAAGUUUAAUAUACUUCCCCAUGAGCAAUCCAAACAGCUUACUGAAUGUCACAGAUGAGGUCUUGAAGGCCUAUGACAUUUUUGAUCUUACUUGGUUUUAGUAAGGCUUUCUAAAAAUUGAGAUGUUGCAUUUUAUAGGAUUGUCACAACGAGCUGUAGACCUCUUCCAUAAUUAUCUUUCAAAUCGAAUGCAGGCGGUCAACUACAUGGACAGAGUGUGCUAGUUUAGAGAAUUGAACUUUGAUGUCCCUCAGAGGUCCAUAUUUGGACCUCUUUUAUGCAUGUAAUGUCUAUUAUCCUGCAAAUUCCACAAUUAUAUAGACGAUACGCAAGUGUACUUAUCGUUUGCGUCCGAUGAGGAUUUGCAGGCGAUUGCUGCAAUAAACUACGAUUUAUAAAACAUAUAUAAAUUCUCAAAAGGACACUGCCUCCAGGAAAAACAUCUGCAAUUCUCUUUCAUCGCAAACAGGUUAGGAAGCAACUGCCUACGGCUAAAUGGCAUUGGCGUAAACCAGAACUCAAUUGUGGCUGAAAAUUGUGUAAAGAAUUUAGGACCAAAUGUCUGCAAAAAGCUUAUUUCACGUUGAAAUUAUUGUAUCAGCAUCUAUUAUAUAAAUCAUUAUAUCAAAUGGCAAAGACAACAUUGACAAAUAUAAUUU